This 253-nucleotide unclassified non-coding RNA is filed under the name uncultured Acidobacteriota bacterium. Its description in RNAcentral is "uncultured Acidobacteria bacterium contains 16S-23S intergenic spacer region". It matches the Rfam family "Bacterial small subunit ribosomal RNA", at positions 524 to 776 of the family's 1533-position model. Lineage: Bacteria; Pseudomonadati; Acidobacteriota. The record is from RNAcentral.
UACGCAGGGGGCAAGCGUUGUCCGGAACUAUCGGGCGUAAAGGGCGCGUAGGCGGCCAGGUAAGUCAAAGGUGAAAUCCCUCGGCUCAACCGAGGAACUGCCUUUGAAACUACCUGGCUCGAGGCCGGGAGGGGGUAGCGGAAUUCCCAGUGUAGCGGUGAAAUGCGUAGAUAUUGGGAGGAACACCGGUGGCGAAGGCGGCUACCUGGACCGGUUCUGACGCUGAUGCGCGAAAGCGUGGGGAGCAAACAGG